UGAGGAAUAUUGGACAAUGGGCGAAAGCCUGAUCCAGCAAUACCGCGUGAGUGAAGAAGGCCUUAGGGUUGUAAAGCUCUUUCAGCAGGGAAAAUAAUGAUGGUACUUGCAAAAGAAGUCCCGGCUAACUCCGUGCCAGCAGCCGCGGUAAUACGGAGGGGACUAGCGUUGUUCGGAUUUACUGGGCGUAAAGAGCGCGUAGGCGGUUUAGUAAGUUAGAAGUGAAAGCCCAGGGCUCAACCCUGGAACU
This 250-nucleotide ribosomal RNA is filed under the name uncultured bacterium. RNAcentral describes it as "partial 16S ribosomal RNA". It matches the Rfam family "Bacterial small subunit ribosomal RNA", at positions 355 to 622 of the family's 1533-position model. The record is from RNAcentral.